GACACCAUGGCCGAAUGGUUAAGGCAGCGAGGAUACGUGAAUGUGAAAUGUGCCAGUGAUUACCUUGUUCUUGCAGGUUCAAUUCCUGCUGGUGUUA
Non-coding RNA from Coprinopsis sp. MPI-PUGE-AT-0042, 97 nucleotides. The record is from the annotation of a GenBank genome assembly. NCBI's taxonomy places the organism in Eukaryota, Fungi, Basidiomycota, Agaricomycetes, Agaricales, Psathyrellaceae.